UGUUAAAAAUUCCUUCCAUUUCUAUUGUUCAAAACUGACAUGGCUAAAAGAAUAACCAAACAGUUACACAUGACAUGCCAUGUAUACUCCAUGGUGACAUAUAGGAACCAAAUUUUAACAGCAGAAAUGGAUGAACUUUUUAAUA
Non-coding RNA from Gossypium raimondii (Peruvian cotton), 145 nucleotides. The record is from Rfam. NCBI's taxonomy places the organism in Eukaryota, Viridiplantae, Streptophyta, Magnoliopsida, Malvales, Malvaceae.